RNAcentral lists this ribosomal RNA (460 nucleotides) under uncultured bacterium. Its description in RNAcentral is "partial 16S ribosomal RNA". It matches the Rfam family "Bacterial small subunit ribosomal RNA", at positions 338 to 795 of the family's 1533-position model. The record is from RNAcentral.
CCUACGGGAGGCAGCAGUGAGGAAUAUUGGUCAAUGGACGGAAGUCUGAACCAGCCAUGCCGCGUGCAGGAAGACGGCGCUAUGAGUUGUAAACUGCUUUUGUACAAGUGUAAACCUGAAUACGUUUAUUCAGCUGGUAGUACUUUACGAAUAAGGAUCGGAUAACUCCGUGCCAGCAGCCGCGGUAAUACGGAGGAUCCAAUCGUUAUCCGGAUUUAUUGGGUUUAAAGGGUGCGUAGGCGGAUUGCUAAGUUAGCGGGUAAAUGUGCGGGCUUAACUCGGGGACUGCCGUUACUACUGGUGGUCUAGAGAGUAGAUGCGGUAGGCGGAAUGUAUGGUGUAGCGGUGAAAUGCUUAGAGAUCAUACAGAACACCGAUUGCGAAGGCAGCUUACCAAGCCAUAACUGACGCUGAGGCACGAAAGCGUGGGGAGCAAACAGGAUUAGAUACCCGAGUAGUC